AGGCAGCAGUGGGGAAUAUUGCACAAUGGGCGCAAGCCUGAUGCAGCGAUGCCGCGUGCGGGAUGAAGGCCCUAGGGUUGUAAACCGCUUUCAGUAGGGAAGAAAAUGACGGUACCUACAGAAGAAGGUGCGGCCAACUACGUGCCAGCAGCCGCGGUGACACGUAGGCACCAAGCGUUGUCCGGAUUUAUUGGGCGUAAAGAGCUCGUAGGCGGUUCAGUUAGUCGGGUGUGAAAACUCUGGGCUCAACCCAGAGACGCCACCCGAUACUGCUGUGACUAGAGUACGGUAGGGGAGUGGGGAAUUCCUGGUGUAGCGGUGAAAUGCGCAGAUAUCAGGAGGAACACCAGUGGCGAAGGCGCCACUCUGGGCCGUAACUGACGCUGAGGAGCGAAAGCAUGGGUAGCAAACAGGAUUAGAUACCCUGGUAGUCCAUGCCGUAAACGUUGGGCACUAGGUGUGGGUCUCAACCAACGAGAUCCGCGCCGUCGCUAACGCAUUAAGUGCCCCGCCUGGGGAGUACGGUCGCAAGACUAAAACUCAAAU
RNAcentral lists this ribosomal RNA (546 nucleotides) under uncultured Actinomycetes bacterium. RNAcentral's name for it is "bacterial SSU rRNA". It matches the Rfam family "Bacterial small subunit ribosomal RNA", at positions 346 to 906 of the family's 1533-position model. The record is from RNAcentral. Lineage: Bacteria; Bacillati; Actinomycetota; Actinomycetes.